Molecule: long non-coding RNA, 201 nt
Filed under: Musa acuminata (dwarf banana)
Lineage: Eukaryota; Viridiplantae; Streptophyta; Magnoliopsida; Zingiberales; Musaceae
Description: long non-coding RNA (MACU_LNC007295)
Source: RNAcentral
GAAAUGAGAAGUAUUUGGGAUGCUAAGAGGGGAGAAAUGGAGGUGGAGAAGCUUUGGAAGAGUAAAGAGGGGAAGGGAGAGAGUUGGGGUCGGUUCCACCGUCGGCCCUAGCUCGGUUUAAAAGGGGCAAGAUUGCGGGCGGUUGCACCGCUGGCUGGGGCGGUGCAACCGCUUGCAACCCGUGACAGCCGGCGGUGCUAC